RNAcentral lists this ribosomal RNA (253 nucleotides) under uncultured Eubacteriales bacterium. Its description in RNAcentral is "uncultured Clostridiales bacterium partial 16S ribosomal RNA". It matches the Rfam family "Bacterial small subunit ribosomal RNA", at positions 524 to 776 of the family's 1533-position model. Lineage: Bacteria; Bacillati; Bacillota; Clostridia; Eubacteriales. The record is from RNAcentral.
UACGGAGGAUGCGAGCGUUAUCCGGAUUUACUGGGUGUAAAGGGAGCGUAGGCGGUAAGGCAAGUCUGAUGUGAAAGGCGGGGGCUCAACCCCCGGACUGCUUUGGAAACUGUUUGACUGGAGUGCAGGAGAGGUAAGUGGAAUUCAUAGUGUAGCGGUGAAAUGCGUAGAUAUUAGGAGGAACACCAGUGGCGAAGGCGGCUUACUGGACUGUAACUGACGUUGAGGCUCGAAAGCGUGGGGAGCAAACAGG